This 218-nucleotide long non-coding RNA is filed under the name Physcomitrium patens. RNAcentral describes it as "long non-coding RNA (PPAT_LNC000924)". Lineage: Eukaryota; Viridiplantae; Streptophyta; Bryopsida; Funariales; Funariaceae. The record is from RNAcentral.
GUACGGUAUAAACCUCUCUUGAAUAAAUCUCAACAAUCUUAUCAUUAUCCCCUAACCCAAUAGAUAUAAUCAAUUCCAAUGAAUCUUCCAGUCCAUUUUUUUCAUAAACACCUAAAAUCCUCUCAUCAUCUUGCAAUGUACCUAACUUGCGUAAUUGUCCUUCAAUAUCAUAUAAUCUUUUUCUUUCUUUUCUUUUAAAAUCAUCAACUUUCUUAUAC